AUUCCUUCAUUACAUGUUAAACAAGUCAUUAUGUGUUAUUUCACACACAGUGCCUGUUUAAUCCUGAAUCCUAUACACAAAUACGUUUUCUUGUGAUCUCUCAAAGUAAUGAUCUCCUGUUUUCUUUCCAGAAUGGAGUCAAUACAAGAAGAGGCAGCUCACUAACACCUAGCAGGUUCUUGGCUUGGUUGACAGAGAUGAUAAUCAGUGCAAGGGCUUAAAUGGCAGGUUUUUUUUAAAAAAAAUCUGAUUUAAGGUAACUGUAAUAGCAAGAGCUGGAAAGUAUUUAUUUUAUUAUUAAUUGCAUAACCACCACCUUUUAUGUUUACAGUGUCCUUACUGCUUUCACGAAACACUGGCAAUGUACUCUUCUUCCAGUAUAUACUACUGUUAUAGGGUAUCCAGCCAAAUUGCAUGAUAAAAUCUGUCUGUGACUUACAACUAGCCAUUCUGAGAGCUUGGAAGAAAAGGUCUCUCUGUUUGUCCUUGUUACUGGCCAAAUUAAGUCAGUAAUUAUGACUUGGAUGCUGAAUGUUAUUAGGUUCUACUGUGCUAGCUAGAGGGAAAGCAAAACAUCUAAAACUUUCAGGGCAUUAUAAAAAUAUAAGAUCCGCAGUUAUAAUUAGGAAAGCCUUAUGUUAAGCUUUCUAAAUAUUGCUAGAGGGUAUAGUUUUAUAUUUGAAAGGUAACAUAAAUCAGUGCAAGCAUUACUUAACAUUUCUAUAUUCAAUUGUUGAAUUGCUGGACCUCUAUUUUAUUUACAGAUAGUCCUUGACUUAUGACCAAUUGCAUAGCAACCAUUUCCAGUUAUAACAGACACCCCAAAAGCCACUUACAACCAGUGGUAGGAUUCAGCCAGUUCGCACCACUUCAGGAGAACCGGUUGUUAACUUUCUGAGCAGUUUGGCAAACUGGCUGUUGGAAGAAAUCAUUGGGGCAGAGAACCGGUUGUUAAAUUACUUGAACCCCAUCACUGCUUACAACCUGGAUUCGAAGUUCCAUUUUGGAGAAGUUCAAGUCUGCAUUUAUGGACGCUCAGAAACUACCCCACAUUUAUGGCCCUUUGCAGAGCCCUGCAGUCCUGUGAUCAUGAUUUACAAUGUUUACUUACAGUUUCUGGCAAAAAAAAAAAAAAGCCCCAUAGUGAACAAUGGGUUUGCUUAAUGACUGUGGUAGUCUCUUAGUAAUUGUAACAUUUGCUUAACGACCAACACAGAAAAGGUGGUAAAAUCGGGUCUGGCUAAUGACGACUGACCUAGUUUACAACUGUCACAACCUAUGAUCAAAAUUGUGGGCUCAAUUACAGUGGUAAGUCUAGGACCAUGAUGGCGAACCUAUGGCAUGCGUGCCAGAGGUGGCACACAAGCCCUCUCUGUGGGCACGCGUGCCGUCACCAGCUGCUCUUCUGGUUUUCGGCAUGCCAGCUGGUCUUCGUGGGCACUGGAGCACUGGAAAAUGGCUUGAAAAUGGCCCCCAAAAUGCCCCCAAACCCAGGCCAUUUUCCAGGCUGUUUUCCGGGCCUUUUCCAGGCCGUUUUUGGCCCCGAAAAUGUCCGAAAAAUGGCCUGAAAAUGGCCCCAAAAUGGCCAAAACCCAAGCCAUUUUCUGGGCUCUUUUCCAGGCCUUUUCCAAGCAGUUUUUGGCUCUGAAAAUGUUUGAAAAGCAGCCUGAAAAUGGCCCAAAAAGUGACCCAGAAAACGGCCAAAAAACAGGCAUGCGUAUGCCAGCCAGCUGAUCAUUGGGUUUCCAGCACUCCGGCACACACAUAUGCAUGUGCAUGCACACACAGUCUGGUUUGGACACUUGGUGCCGAAAAAGUUCGCCAUCACUGGUCUAGGACUUACCUGUAUUUGAAAAGUUGAUAUGUUGCCUACUACUUUUAUGGCCUCCAAACUAAGAUAAUAAAAUAGUCAUUAAAAAGUAUUCAAAGAUAUAAUGAAUAAAAAUAUAAAAACUGAAACAUAAGCCAAAAAAAUCUAAGCCUAUAGGACAGACUGCUUUAAUUCCAGUGGCAGUUUGUUUCAUAGCAUGAGUUGGGCAGUGGGAAAAUAAACUCAAAUUCAAUUUGAAUGUUAAAAGCAUCCAUGAUGGGACCACAAAAGAACUGUCCCAUUUAUGAACCAAGAGUAGGGGAAGGAGUAUACAGGCGGCAAUUGAAUCUUAGCCAUGUAAGGCUUUAAACACAUUGAUGUGAGGUGGGAAAGCCAUCCAUGAAUGUGUUUUAGUACCAGGAUAAUGAGAAAUAUCAGUCACUGCCUGUAAUUUGGCAUCUUGGGUCUACUGGCAUUUUCAGAUUAUUUUCAAAGGCUGUUCCAUAAAGACUACAGUACAUUGCAAUAAUUGAAACUUUAGCUUACCAGCUCAUGAAUCACCAAAGCAUAAAGUCAAAGCCUAUAAAAAGUUGCCUUACCAUCAGUGAUACAUAGUUGUCCAACAUCAGUGCUAAAUCCAAGAAGAUCAAAACAUUAUUUGUGCCUCUAGCCCUGAGUAGUGUGUUUCAGAGUAGGAUUCAGGGAUAUGCAAUGUCUCUUUUUAUUUCAAGCAAUCUUUUCAGAUACUAGAUUUUUUUUUAAGUAUAAAGGUAAAGGUUCCCUUCGCACAUAUGUGCUAGUCGUUCCCGACUCUAGGGGGCGGUGCUCAUCUCCGUUUCAAAGCCAAAGAGCCAGCGCUGUCCAAAGACGUCGCCGUAGUCUUGUGGCCAGCAUGACUAAACGCCAAAGGUGCACGGAAUGCUGUUACCUUCCCACCAAAGGUGGUCCCUGUUUUUCUACUUGCAUUUUUUACGUGCUUUCAAACUGCUAGGUUGGCAGAAGCUGGGGCAAGUAACGGGAACUCACCCCGUUACGCGGCACUAGGGAUUCGAACCGCUGAACUGCCGACCUUUCGAUCGACAAGCUCAGCAUCUUAGCCACUGAGCCAUCGCAUCUCCCCCCCCUUUUUUUAAUAUAUUGGAGAUUUAUUGAAAAUACUUAUAUGGCUGCCCAUCUUAAGAGAUACAACCCUGGGUGGCUCCCAACAACAGUACUCCCCCCACCCCAAAAAAAAACCCUGGGAAGAAAAACAAUAAAAAAAAAGGACAAGCAAAAACCUGGAGUUUCAGCCUCUGAUGCAUUCAACAUCACCACAUCUGGCUCCUCCCUCACCCUAUGCCAGUGUUUUGGGAGAAGAGAUAGCUCUUUUGGCCUUAUGGAAAGAGUAGGGUUUGCCCAAUAUGGGGCAGGAUGUUCCACAGGGCAAGAGCUGCUACAGAAAAGACACACUUCCUAGGUUCCACACUAGAUGGCAGUAUUUAAAGGAAGAGACUGAAUCCUUUGAUCAACAUAUUGCUAAUAAAUGUGGAAACUAGUAAAGUGAUCAGGCAGGAGCUGUACCUGCAGUUCUCUCCCCUAAAGGGAGUUGUCCAUUAUGAACCCAUGAAUGACAGUGCAUUGAUACAAUAAAGAAAGAGAAGUAUAAUCUUCUACCAUUUCCAUGUUGUGGGCUCAAACAUGAGCUUUUACCCAUAUUUGUACCCUUGCCUGGACAACUUCAUUUUCCUCCACUAGCCCAGCAAAUAUCACUUUGUGAUCAGGGAGCCAUCCUAGAUCAGCCAACUGAUUAGUUUAAGGAGAAUAAUGUCAAGCGUCUAUUGCUUCUUGUUCCCAGUGAGCAACUAGACCAGGGGUCAGCAAUCUGCAGCUCUGGAGCCGCAUGUGGCUCUUUCAUCCCUCAGCUGCGGCUCCCUGUCACUCAAAAUAUAUGUUACAACCGCCAAUGUGCAAUACCUGCUGGCAUGCGAUUCAUUGAGCUUUUCGACCCCCAUAGGCCAACAAUGGAUAAAUCCAAGAAAAGAAAAGUUUCAGAAGAAAACAGAAUGUUUAAUACAGCUACAUAUGCUAGUUUUGUGGUUGCUCAGGAAAUAGUCAGCACAGGAAGGGUUUUGUGGCUCCCGGUAUUUUGUUUUCUGUUGGAAACAGGUCCAAAUGGCUCUUUGAGUGUUUAUGGUUGCUGACCCCUCAACUAGACAGAAGUGCUUGUUGGAUAACGAUGAAAUUCCCUAAGCACUCCCCAGAAUCCCCAAUAGAGAAAACACUAAUUGUGCAGUCCUUGUCAGAUGUCUUAAUAAUUAAAAAGUAUAUACAAAUAACAAACCAAGAGAGUAACUUGGAUAAUUUUCCUAUAUUGGAUGGACAAGAGGCUUGUUAGAGUUUUGAAGAUUUUUUUGAGAAAUGAAAUCAAGUUCUACAAUGUUAUUUGAAGGGAUUAAAGAUUAAGAUUGUUAGAAAAAAAGGAAGGAACAUAAAGCUGGUUUAUUGGAUCAAGGUUAAAACAGGAAACACUGGUAACUCUUAGUAGAUUUUUGCAGAUAUCAGAACAGAAAUUUCAUGGAUUUGUUACAUAUAAGAGAUGAGAUAUGGGAAAAAGAGAUCAUUUGUUGCAUUUUAAGGGAAGAUAAUAAGUUACUAAAACUGUUUACGCUUGUGAUGUAGGGUGAGGUCACUUUUCUUUUUCUUUAUUAUAUUAUAUUUAUUAUAUUUUUCUUCAUUAUUUAUCUACUUUUCGCUUUUCUUUUUUGUUUUAUUCACCUUUUACAUUUUAUUUUUGUUUUAGUUUGCAUUAGUUUAUAUUGUUGUAAUUGUAAUCUUUAAUAAAAGUACUAUUUAAAAAAACCCAACAUUAUUCAGACCGGCACAAAUCCACUGCAGCCGCCUGGAACACCAGAAAAAGGAAACAAAUUGCCAAUACAACAUAGUCCAACAAAAUAGAUACCCAUGAAACUUUAUCAAGAAGUUCCUGUUCACUCAGUCCACUAUAGCACAACCAGUACAAACUAUGAAAAGGAUAACAUCAACGAUCAUCAGUUUGAAACAAUUAACAGUACAACUUACAACUACACUAAAUCACCAUAGCACACAAAACAACUAAAGCCCUCUAAAACAUCUUAAGCAAGCCAAAAACCCAGCAGCCCAAGAAGGAAAAAAAGAGAAGUCAUCUACAAUAUAUAGUGUAAGGACUGUAACAAUCACUAUGUAGGACAGACAUGCAAAUGGCAAGAAGAAUGCAUCCACAAUCAUCAACUACAGUCAGAAGACAUGAUGAAAACUCUUCAAUCUCACAACACACAAACAGACUCAACCAACGUUUCAACUGGGUUAGACCAAGAAAAUCCCAAACUGCUAGGAUUGAAAUUCACUGAAGCUUGAAAUUCACACAAAAGAACCACUAACAGACCUAGAGAGAUAAACCAUAUUUACACAUCAUUCACCAGAGGGGGAAAAAAAAUCUAAGAAGGAAAGAGAAAGACCAGAACACAUCUUCUCCAGCAGCCAACACCACAACAAACAGGUAUUAACAUCAGCAAACAAUCAAGCAAAAAGCAAUACUCAAAGCAAAGAACUACCAAGGAGAAAAUCAUUCCACUAUCAAAACUGGCAGGGCAAGCUAAUAUAAACAGGAAGUUAAAUCCCACACUCACUAGCACUGAUAAUAUCACAUGGUUGGCUAAUGAAAUAUCUGCAAACAAUCAAUCUUAGACAACACCAAGGAUUCCAAAUUUCGAGUCUGAACUAUGUACACUAUCUUAUAUUGAACUGGAAUUGGCCUGUUUACCACCUGAGAUCAUUGGUGAUAAUUAAUCUUACCUAGAUUAGAAAGUGAUCCAGACUGUCUCCAUAUCAAGAUAAUUAUACAAUAGCUCAAGCUGCCUUCAUGUGUUAGACCAAUAUCUACUUUUGAUACUUUACUAUAGAAACUACAAACUCCUGAAGCACCAUCAUGAUCCAAUCUCCAAAGCAUGAAGAUUCAAAUCAAGCAGAAAUAAUAUUUAAAAGACUCCAAAGCCAGUCCAGAGAACAGAUCAUACUAUAUGUGUAGAGAUCUUGCUGAGAGGGUAUGGAAGACACUGAUGGUGAAUAGAUAAACAGAAGAAUCCAAGCCAAAAUAUAUGAGACUACAUUGAAAGUA
Non-coding RNA from Pantherophis guttatus, 5942 nucleotides. The record is from RefSeq and is a predicted model, not a curated record. Lineage: Eukaryota; Metazoa; Chordata; Lepidosauria; Squamata; Colubridae.